RNAcentral lists this ribosomal RNA (520 nucleotides) under uncultured bacterium. RNAcentral's name for it is "bacterial SSU rRNA". It matches the Rfam family "Bacterial small subunit ribosomal RNA", at positions 15 to 518 of the family's 1533-position model. The record is from RNAcentral.
GAUCUGGCUCAGGACGAACGCUGGCGGCGUGCCUAACACAUGCAAGUCGAACGGAGAUUAUUAAUGAAGCUUGCGAUUUAAUAAUCUUAGUGGCGGACGGGUGAGUAACGCGUGGGUAAUCUACCUAUUAGUGGGGAAUAACAGUUGGAAACGACUGCUAAUACCGCAUAAGCUGCGCAAGCAGGAAAGACGGCCUCUGAAAAUGCUGUCGCUAAUAGAUGAGCCCGCGUCUGAUUAGCUAGUUGGUGGGGUAAAGGCCUACCAAGGCGACGAUCAGUAGCCGGCCUGAGAGGGUGAACGGCCACACUGGGACUGAGACACGGCCCAGACUCCUACGGGAGGCAGCAGUGGGGAAUAUUGCGCAAUGGGGGAAACCCUGACGCAGCGACGCCGCGUGAGCGAAGAAGGCCUUAGGGUUGUAAAGCUCUGUUUUAGGGGACGAAUGUCACGGUGAGAAAUAUGCGCUGUGAAUGACGGUACCCUAAGAGGAAGCCCCGGCUAACUACGUGCCAGCCGCGGC